RNAcentral lists this ribosomal RNA (274 nucleotides) under uncultured bacterium. RNAcentral's name for it is "partial 16S ribosomal RNA". It matches the Rfam family "Bacterial small subunit ribosomal RNA", at positions 523 to 796 of the family's 1533-position model. The record is from RNAcentral.
AUACGAAGGGGGCUAGCGUUGUUCGGAAUUACUGGGCGUAAAGCGCGCGUAGGCGGAUUGGUCAGUUAGGGGUGAAAUCCCAGGGCUUAACCCUGGAACUGCCUCUAAUACUGCCAGUCUUGAGUUCGGGAGAGGUGAGUGGAAUUCCUAGUGUAGAGGUGAAAUUCGUAGAUAUUAGGAAGAACACCAGUGGCGAAGGCGGCUCACUGGCCCGAUACUGACGCUGAGGCGCGAAAGCGUGGGGAGCAAACAGGAUUAGAUACCCGAGUAGUCC